Molecule: Y RNA, 101 nt
Filed under: Carlito syrichta (Philippine tarsier)
Lineage: Eukaryota; Metazoa; Chordata; Mammalia; Primates; Tarsiidae
Description: Y RNA (ENSTSYG00000029338.1)
Rfam family: Y RNA
About the family: Y RNAs are components of the Ro ribonucleoprotein particle (Ro RNP), in association with Ro60 and La proteins. The Y RNAs and Ro60 and La proteins are well conserved, but the function of the Ro RNP is not known.
Source: Rfam by way of RNAcentral
GGCUGGUCUGAGUGCAGUGGUGUUUACAACUAAUUGAUCACAUCCAGUAACAGAUUUCUUUGUUCCUUUCCACUUCUACUUCUUCACUUGACUAGUUUUAA